Molecule: long non-coding RNA, 1491 nt
Organism: Cyprinus carpio carpio
Lineage: Eukaryota; Metazoa; Chordata; Actinopteri; Cypriniformes; Cyprinidae
Source: Ensembl
CGAAGACUGUGAGUACAUUGGAUUGCUUACAUAUCAUUGCUCAUACUUGGAUAUGGAUAACUAAUACCUGUUGGAGUGAUUAACAGCUUGUUGAGCGGCCCCAUCGUUGGAGGACGAGACGAGUGGGUGAGCCGAAGUAGAGCGUGGGUGAAUGGAUGUUAUUUGGCUGUGGCCACACCGUAAAGUUUGGAGCACUUACCGUGACAGCGACUGCAAACUCCUCCAGGACGAAAUCCGACCGGGCGUGGAGUACCGACCUUAAAAAUCACUGAAGUGUGUGUAGUGCAGUGGGUGAGUCUGUCUUUGACGUGUGUACACCAAAGCUUUGCAGUGCUGUGCCGUGUCCCUGUUGUCUGUACUCGCCCUCCAGGCCGAGAAAAGUUCCUGUUGGAGAGAACGUAGGCUGCCGUGGCGGUGCCCACCUAUCCCACCUAUGCCCGCCUAUAACUCCGUUCUCCGGACCCAGCUUGAAGGUGAAGCGCGAAAGCAAAACAAGGUAUUGUGCGGAUAUUGUGGGGAAAGCUAUUGCCCUUGAAUACGCCCUGUAAAGCCCAGCGUGAAGAUACAGUCACUUGUUGAAUACUUACCUGUCUGUACGAGCUAAAAGCUAUUGCCCUUGAAUACGCCCUGUAAACCCAGUGUGAAGAUACAGCUACUUGUUGAAUACUUAUCCGCCUGCACGAGUUAAAAGCCAUUGCUCUGGAACCCGCUCAGUAAGCCUAGUGUGAAGAGUCAGUCACCUUGCUCAAUACCUAUCUGUGUUACGAGUAAAAAGUUACUCGCUUCUGAUAUACCGGUGGACAUCCAGGGGCAUGGCCUAGUUACCUUGCUACAUCCUUACCUUUGUUACUUACCUGUGCCCUCAGGGAUUUGUGUGUUACCUUAUAUCUACCUAGGAGGUCUAUGGGAGUGGAGGAGCUGUCCAGACGCUGGUGAAGUACAACCCAAAGAGCAAAGAAGCUAGGAGCAAGGCAUUCUCCGUUUUACCCAUUACUCAUUGUGUGUUCUUGUUGCCUUCAGGAGAAGAGAAGGGCGCCACGGGAAAUCAAGCCGUUAAGGAAGGACUUAGGAUUAGUCAGGAGACUGGUGGAAGUUCUGGGAAAGGACGGAAGAGCCCUUGCCCCCCUCCCCUUGUGAUUACUUACCAAAGACCUCCAGAGUUCUCAGGCCCAGUCCCCUCCUGUCAAGAGACGAAAAUCAAAAUUUUAGAUUCCCCUUUUUUCCUUUCCUAGAUUACCUUUUUAAAUAAUUUAAAUAAAGUUGUUUUAAAUUACCCUUAACUUAUCUUGUGUGUCUGGUCCUUGGGGUGAUCUUGGGACCUCCUCGAGGUGGAAGUCGGGAAGGGGCGUGACUCGCAACACCUGUGGUCCGCUCCGACCUGUGACAGAUUUUGGCGUAGUCGGCAGGAUUCCAUCUCGAGUGGAGCGACCAAGGUCCCCCAAUGGCCGACAACGAGCUGCCAGGAGUCCCACCCCGAGUCAUGCCUGUGUU